ACAGAGGUGGCUAGCGUUGUUCGGAUUUACUGGGCGUAAAGGAUGCGUAGGUGGCUUUGUAUGUCAGAUGUGAAAUUUCAUUGCUCAACGAUGAAAGUGCAUUUGAAACUACUUGGCUUGAGUAUAGGAGAGGAGCAUGGAAUUCUUGGUGUAGCGGUGAAAUGCGUAGAUAUCAAGAAGAACACCGGAGGCGAAGGCGAUGCUCUAGAAUGAUACUGACACUGAGGCAUGAAAGCUGGGGGAGCAAACAG
RNAcentral lists this ribosomal RNA (251 nucleotides) under uncultured prokaryote. RNAcentral describes it as "partial 16S ribosomal RNA". It matches the Rfam family "Bacterial small subunit ribosomal RNA", at positions 525 to 775 of the family's 1533-position model. The record is from RNAcentral.